GCUAGGCUUCUAGAGGCGAGGAAGCCAAGGAUUAUGUGGGCUCCGUGCUUAGCUCAUUGUUUGAACAACAUUCUCAAGGAUUUCGCAAAACUACCAUGGAUGGUUGGGCUGCUAGACAAGGGAAAGACUCUGGUUGGCUUCCUCCAGAACCAUUCGCAUCUAGUAGCGAUUUUGGCAUCCUUCUCUUCACGACGAGUGUUGAAGUUCAGCGAAACACGAUUCACCUUUAACUUUCUAAUGAUGGAGAGAUUGGUGGAGCUGAGGCCAAAGCUACAACAAAUGUUUGUGAGCGACGCUUACAAUGCAAGGCUAGAGUCAAGGACAGAUUCUGGGAUAGCAUGCUGAGGAAUUGUGUUCAACAAUACAUACUGGAACGAGGUUAACCACAUGCUGGGUGUUUCAAGGAGGGUGAUGUAUUUAUUACGGAUGGUUGACGGAGACGUGCCUAUGAUUGGGAAGGUCUACGAGGGGAUGGAUCAGAUGAGCGAGAACAUCUGUCAACAAGAGGAGAACAAUCUUAGGUAUGAGGAGCUAAACCAACUGAUUUCAAACAGGUGGUGGGCUUAUCAUAGCACCUUUCACUCCAUGGCAUACAUGCUUGAUCC
This 605-nucleotide long non-coding RNA is filed under the name Selaginella moellendorffii. RNAcentral's name for it is "long non-coding RNA (SMOE_LNC001659)". The record is from RNAcentral. Lineage: Eukaryota; Viridiplantae; Streptophyta; Lycopodiopsida; Selaginellales; Selaginellaceae.